GUGAAUGUAGUUCAAUAGGCAGAACAACUGUAUGUGGAACAGUAAGUUCCCCGUUCAAUUCGGGGUGUUCAUC
Molecule: transfer RNA, 73 nt
Filed under: Arthonia kermesina
Lineage: Eukaryota; Fungi; Ascomycota; Arthoniomycetes; Arthoniales; Arthoniaceae
Description: tRNA-His
Source: RNAcentral